CGUCCUUGGAAACUGGCACUGUGCCGUCUCUUACCCUUCCCCAGCCUUUCCUUUGGGGUAAAAUUCUUCCCAUUUCGGUCUCGGGGACUGACAUGUAGGCCUGGUAGGCGCCCUGGCCCACGUGCAGUGGCCAUGCUCCUGGUAGCCGAUUGCAAUGGAAUCGGCCCCUUAGCCUUGUUCCGAUGACUAGGGUCCUCCGUUCUUUCUUCCUCCACGAUCCUUGCUUCGCAACACAUCGUGCUACUUUCGCCCGCAAUGGCACCUACCUCUUCCUCUUCCUCCUCAUUUCCUUACUUCGAGCAUGACACCGAUCGGGAGCCAACUCCAGUGUGGGACCGCAUUGCUGCUUAUGAGGAGGCUCCUCCGCAUUGGGAUGCAGAGGAGUGGGACUUCGCGGUGGAGUCUGAGGAUGACCUCUCCCUCACCGAUGGCGAGGACCUCGAGCUCCUCCUUGGCGAGGACUGGGAGGACAUCGAGGAUGACCUUUUCCCUGGGAUGGAGCCGAUGAGUCGUCGGAGAGUGAGGAGGGCGGCAUGUCUUUUGAGGAGGAGUAAGAACCACCCCUCCACGUUCGCUUCUCCGACGACGACGACGACAACGAUGACAAUGUCGGCCACGGGUCUAGCGACACCAACAGCUCCAGCGGCGACGUCGACGACGAGGAGAGCGAUGAUACCGGCG
This 681-nucleotide unclassified non-coding RNA is filed under the name Zea mays. RNAcentral describes it as "misc RNA Zm00001eb090550". Lineage: Eukaryota; Viridiplantae; Streptophyta; Magnoliopsida; Poales; Poaceae. The record is from RNAcentral.